Saccostrea cuccullata (small rock oyster) is the source of this 2104-nucleotide long non-coding RNA. RefSeq lists it as uncharacterized. NCBI's taxonomy places the organism in Eukaryota, Metazoa, Mollusca, Bivalvia, Ostreida, Ostreidae. The transcript has 3 exons. The record is from RefSeq and is a predicted model, not a curated record.
UCCUCCUAAGAAAUAUAUGACAACUUUUAAUUUGGGGGUCAUAACUGAUCACAAGAUCAAGUACAUGUCAUUCUUGACAAUUAAUAUUUUAGGAAAUCAUUUUUCACUCAAUUUUGUGAAAAGCCUCUUAUUAUUACAGACAUUAAACUCGUUGGUACCACUCCUUUAGGAGUAUACAUGAUCACAUUUUAUUUUGAGGUCACUUCUCUGGAUAUCAUAUAGGAAUGUAUAUCUCAUGCUGAAUAAAGAGUAAAUGUUUAUUUUUAUUUUAAAUGAGAAAAAAGGGCAACUGUUUGAAUCGUGCAAGAGACAUAAAUCUACAACAAGGAAUUGAUCAAAAAAGUUAUACCAUUCCCCUGGUCCCCUGCAUUUACUAUUAUGAUAUAAAACUGUUGUAUAAAGCAAUGCUUUCUUACACUAAAAUAAACAAUUUUCUUUAACAAUUGAAAUUUUAUGAUAUUUAUUAAAUGAAAAAAUCUUUCAGGAAAAGAAUCUUACCCUUAGCUUUUUAGUAUAGUUCAUCCAAGAUUAAUUUAUGAAAAGUCAGUGCAUUGACCAGUAAAUUCUCUAUAAGUUGAACAUCCAUUGACAUUUGAAAAUCAUGCAUGUGUCUCUACUUACUUCAUCACGCAGUUUUUUGACCAAAACUAAUUAUAUAACUUUAUCACAGUAUAACACAGUAUAACACACAGAUAUAUCAAUGUCUAAUUUCUCCAAUUUCGAAUUCCCCUUCAAACGACAGUUGCAUUUAAAUGAUAGCUGUUCACAUGUGCAACUGCGACCCUUCCAUACAUAUUUGAAUGGAAACAUGUGGUGCCACUAACUGAAGAAAUGUCAAUCAAAACACUGCACACUGAUAAUCUUGGGUGUGUUAUCAGUCUUGGACACAUCCAUCUCUCAACCCUACCAAAAUGUUCACGAUUUCAAAUCAGAAGAUGAUUAUCACAUCGAAAGAUUGUUGAAUAAAACAGGAUGUUGCAGUUCUUCACAGUUAAGGAUUUAUUAAGACAAAAUGAUAUGCCCUGGAUUUCAAUGUAAAAGAAAAAGAAUACCCUCAUGACACCACUUGCAGCAACAUUUCAGAGAAAUGAUUAAAGUGUCGUAAACAAAUCAAAAGAUGACACCCAAGAAACUUGUUGAGGCUGUUUUACUUUGACUGAUGAAAAAAUGCUAUGAACCUUUGGAGACCAAGGAAUUGGAAUCGUCUCUAUUAUGAGGGAAAGAUGUAACCGAGAAAGAAACAUGGUUGACCUUCAUCACAACUUUGGUUUAAUUUCGUGGUAGAAAGGAAAAAUACUGUGGGUAUUAACCUGUUAACCAAGACAUUGUAAUAUGUGAUCACAAUGCCAUUCAGUGAAAAAGCCCUUUGAGUUGAUACAUGAACACUGCACAUUGCACAUGCUUGUUCCGAAGUGGAAAAAUUUGUUUGUUCCUGUACCUAGUUUAUAUUAUGCUUAAAGAAAGCCUUAAUUCAAAAAGUACUUUAUAAAAUGACAAAAUGAUUUUUCAUAUAUAUUUUGUAGAGUGUGUACAGAUAAAAAAUGUUUCUAUGAAUAUGUACUGCAUUUCAUAUAAAAGAGAGAAAUGUUUCCCAAAUUCUUCAUGUACGAUAAAAACUAAUAUAAUAUCACAAAACACAUGAUAAUGUUAGAGAGGAACGUUCCUUUAAAGAUAUUUUUAAGUGGGCUUUGCAAUAUAUCAACAGAUAUUCAUUACAAGACAGAGGAACGUUCCUCAAAUGCACGGGUUGCAAGCUUCAUGAGGUAUAAGUAAUCAACAGAAAUACAACCAUUUGUGAGAGGAACGUUCCUCAAAUGCCUGAUUUAAUAUGAAUAAGGUUUCAACAUAUACAAAUCUGAGAGAGGAACGUUUCUCAUACAUGUAAGUAUCCUGUGUGAACAAUGUUAAAUUUUAGUGAGGAACGUUCCUGAAAUGCCUAAUGUUUGACAAUUCAUGAGACAACCAUUUGUGAGAGGAACGUUCCUCAAAUGCCUGAUAUUUGACAAUCCUUGAGAUGCCUACAGUAAUAAUUAAAUUCGAGCGAGGAACGUUCCUCAAAUGCCUGAUGUUUGACCAUUCAUGAGAUGUCUUCAGAAAAAGUGAA